This 468-nucleotide ribosomal RNA is filed under the name uncultured bacterium. Its description in RNAcentral is "partial 16S ribosomal RNA". It matches the Rfam family "Bacterial small subunit ribosomal RNA", at positions 28 to 507 of the family's 1533-position model. The record is from RNAcentral.
GACGAACGCUGGCGGCGUGCUUAACACAUGCAAGUCGAACGGCAAGGCCCUGCUUUUGUGGGGUGCUCGAGUGGCGAACGGGUGCGUAACACGUGAGUAACCUGCCCUUGACUUUGGGAUAACUUCAGGAAACUGGGGCUAAUACCGGAUAGCAUCUCCUGCUGCAUGGUGGGGGUUGGAACGUUUCGGCGGUUGGGGAUGGACUCGCGGCUUAUCAGCUUGUUGGUGGGGUAGUGGCUUACCAAGGCUUUGACGGGUAGCCGGCCUGAGAGGGUGACCGGCCACAUUGGGACUGAGAGACGGCCCAGACUCCUACGGGAGGCAGAAGUGGGGAAUAUUGCACAAUGGGCGGAAGCCUGAUGCAGAAACGCCGCGUGCGGGAUGACGGCCUGCGGGGUGUAAACCGCUUUCGCCUGUGACGAAGCGUGAGUGACGGUAAUGGGUAAAGAAGCACCGGCUAACUACGUG